RNAcentral lists this long non-coding RNA (368 nucleotides) under Pan troglodytes (chimpanzee). RNAcentral describes it as "lincRNA". The record is from RNAcentral. Lineage: Eukaryota; Metazoa; Chordata; Mammalia; Primates; Hominidae.
UCAACGGCAAAAGGGCAUACUGCUGUUAUUGUCAGUGAGGGGUCAGUAGUUUAAAUGAUGAAACUCUGGGGAUCAGCAUAAAGUAAACCAACAUACUGCAUGUAAGUAUCAAGUAAAUGAGCAGAGACAGCCCCUGGUUUACAAACACCUGACUUAAGCAUCAUCCAUCCUACAGGACAGGGAAGGAGGAAGAAGCUUCAAGAGGCUGGAACAGUUGAGGGAGCGCUGACACGGUAAAGGCCACUUUGCUCAUCAUCACCAGGCGCGCUGCUGAAAAUUUCCACUCUGUUUACUCCGAAGACCUUACUCCUACUAUGUGGAGACAUAUUUGAAUAAAAAAUUGGCCUCUUUUCAAAGUCAAAAUUCUG